RNAcentral lists this unclassified non-coding RNA (209 nucleotides) under uncultured fungus. RNAcentral describes it as "sequence contains ITS1". Lineage: Eukaryota; Fungi. The record is from RNAcentral.
GUACAUUAGUGCUUGCGCACGACAAUAAAUUUCAUUACAUUCGAGUGUGUGUAAAAAUCCUCUGCCGGCCGAAGCUAGCAAGAGGCCAAAGGUGCACAGGGUAUUGGAUGAAAGUCACCGACGUGCACUUGCCAAAGCCGAAGCCGGCCAGCACUGAAGGCAACCAUUCGCAAUCAUUAAUGAUCCUUCCGCAGGUUCACCUACGGAAA